GAUUGAACGCUGGCGGCAUGCUUUACCCAUGCAAGUCGAACGGCAGCGCGGGCUUCGGCCUGGCGGCGAGUGGCGAACGGGUGAGUAAUACAUCGGAACGUGCCCAGUAGUGGGGGAUAGCUCGGCGAAAGCCGGAUUAAUACCGCAUACGACCUGAGGGUGAAAGCGGGGGAUCUUCGGACCUCGCGCUAUUGGAGCGGCCGAUGGCAGAUUAGCUAGUUGGUGGGGUAAAGGCCUACCAAGGCGACGAUCUGUAGCUGGUCUGAGAGGACGACCAGCCACACUGGGACUGAGACACGGCCCAGACUCCUACGGGAGGCAGCAGUGGGGAAUUUUGGACAAUGGGCGAAAGCCUGAUCCAGCAAUGCCGCGUGUGUGAUGAAGGCCUUCGGGUUGUAAAGCACUUUUGGCGGGAACGAAAAGGACUGUGCCAAUACCACGGUUCGAUGACGGUACCCGCAGAAUAAGCACCGGCUAACUACGUG
This 485-nucleotide ribosomal RNA is filed under the name uncultured bacterium. RNAcentral describes it as "partial 16S ribosomal RNA". It matches the Rfam family "Bacterial small subunit ribosomal RNA", at positions 27 to 507 of the family's 1533-position model. The record is from RNAcentral.